Molecule: ribosomal RNA, 1253 nt
Filed under: Bacillus subtilis
Lineage: Bacteria; Bacillati; Bacillota; Bacilli; Caryophanales; Bacillaceae
Description: bacterial SSU rRNA
Rfam family: Bacterial small subunit ribosomal RNA
Source: RNAcentral
GCAAGUCGAGCGGACAGAUGGGAGCUUGCUCCCUGAUGUUAGCGGCGGACGGGUGAGUAACACGUGGGUAACCUGCCUGUAAGACUGGGAUAACUCCGGGAAACCGGGGCUAAUACCGGAUGCUUGUUUGAACCGCAUGGUUCAAACAUAAAAGGUGGCUUCGGCUACCACUUACAGAUGGACCCGCGGCGCAUUAGCUAGUUGGUGAGGUAACGGCUCACCAAGGCAACGAUGCGUAGCCGACCUGAGAGGGUGAUCGGCCACACUGGGACUGAGACACGGCCCAGACUCCUACGGGAGGCAGCAGUAGGGAAUCUUCCGCAAUGGACGAAAGUCUGACGGAGCAACGCCGCGUGAGUGAUGAAGGUUUUCGGAUCGUAAAGCUCUGUUGUUAGGGAAGAACAAGUACCGUUCGAAUAGGGCGGUACCUUGACGGUACCUAACCAGAAAGCCACGGCUAACUACGUGCCAGCAGCCGCGGUAAUACGUAGGUGGCAAGCGUUGUCCGGAAUUAUUGGGCGUAAAGGGCUCGCAGGCGGUUUCUUAAGUCUGAUGUGAAAGCCCCCGGCUCAACCGGGGAGGGUCAUUGGAAACUGGGGAACUUGAGUGCAGAAGAGGAGAGUGGAAUUCCACGUGUAGCGGUGAAAUGCGUAGAGAUGUGGAGGAACACCAGUGGCGAAGGCGACUCUCUGGUCUGUAACUGACGCUGAGGAGCGAAAGCGUGGGGAGCGAACAGGAUUAGAUACCCUGGUAGUCCACGCCGUAAACGAUGAGUGCUAAGUGUUAGGGGGUUUCCGCCCCUUAGUGCUGCAGCUAACGCAUUAAGCACUCCGCCUGGGGAGUACGGUCGCAAGACUGAAACUCAAAGGAAUUGACGGGGGCCCGCACAAGCGGUGGAGCAUGUGGUUUAAUUCGAAGCAACGCGAAGAACCUUACCAGGUCUUGACAUCCUCUGACAAUCCUAGAGAUAGGACGUCCCCUUCGGGGGCAGAGUGACAGGUGGUGCAUGGUUGUCGUCAGCUCGUGUCGUGAGAUGUUGGGUUAAGUCCCGCAACGAGCGCAACCCUUGAUCUUAGUUGCCAGCAUUCAGUUGGGCACUCUAAGGUGACUGCCGGUGACAAACCGGAGGAAGGUGGGGAUGACGUCAAAUCAUCAUGCCCCUUAUGACCUGGGCUACACACGUGCUACAAUGGACAGAACAAAGGGCAGCGAAACCGCGAGGUUAAGCCAAUCCCACAAAUCUGUUCUCAGUU